Molecule: small RNA, 89 nt
Filed under: Pseudomonas fluorescens
Lineage: Bacteria; Pseudomonadati; Pseudomonadota; Gammaproteobacteria; Pseudomonadales; Pseudomonadaceae
Description: isrK
Rfam family: isrK Hfq binding RNA
Source: RNAcentral
GUCGCUGCCAAUUCAGCGACCGGGCCUGAGAACCCGGGUAAGAUACGGGCGCACAAGCGCCACCAAUCACGAUUGCCGGCGCUUUUUUU